UACGUAGGUGGCAAGCGUUAUCCGGAUUUACUGGGUGUAAAGGGCGUGUAGGCGGGAGAGCAAGUCAGGCGUGAAAACUCAGGGCUCAACCCUGAGCCUGCGUUUGAAACUGUUCUUCUUGAGUGAUGGAGAGGCAGGCGGAAUUCCGUGUGUAGCGGUGAAAUGCGUAGAUAUACGGAGGAACACCAGUGGCGAAGGCGGCCUGCUGGACAUUAACUGACACUGAGGAGCGAAAGCGUGGGUAGCAAACA
RNAcentral lists this ribosomal RNA (251 nucleotides) under uncultured bacterium. Its description in RNAcentral is "partial 16S ribosomal RNA". It matches the Rfam family "Bacterial small subunit ribosomal RNA", at positions 524 to 774 of the family's 1533-position model. The record is from RNAcentral.